CAUUUGCCCAUCACAUCUCGACUAACUCGAUUCAGUUGAUGUUAAUUAGAUAUCACUGGGUUGAGUUUGUCUCGAUGUUUUGUGCCCAUC
RNAcentral lists this microRNA precursor (90 nucleotides) under Tribolium castaneum (red flour beetle). RNAcentral's name for it is "microRNA tca-mir-309b precursor". Its record names the gene tca-mir-309b. Lineage: Eukaryota; Metazoa; Arthropoda; Insecta; Coleoptera; Tenebrionidae. The record is from miRBase by way of RNAcentral.